Lytechinus variegatus (green sea urchin) is the source of this 2454-nucleotide long non-coding RNA. RefSeq lists it as uncharacterized. NCBI's taxonomy places the organism in Eukaryota, Metazoa, Echinodermata, Echinoidea, Temnopleuroida, Toxopneustidae. The transcript has 3 exons. The record is from RefSeq and is a predicted model, not a curated record.
UACUAGUACUAGCCUAGCCUAGUACUAGGGCCUAUAGGCUAUAGUAUAGGGUCUAUUUGAGAGAGGCACUGGGUCGUUUUUUCAGCAGCAAGAGUGGCACUGCAGAUAGGAUAUAUGAAUAUGGCUUAGAAUAUAGGACCAUAUAGGGGCAAAAUCUUUUUUUUCUUAGCAUGACCCUAUGUUUUACAUGUACUUUUCAAAUGAUAAAAUGUAUUAUUUCAACCUCUUGAAAAAAAUUCUAGACGAUCACUUUUCUCUACAACAAAUGAAAUCAUUUUGUUUAGGAGAAUUUCUAUUUGUGCAUUAAAAAUGCUGAUUGGACACUGGCCUUUCCCGAAACGCUUUUGCAAUUCUUCCUUAAAACCUUUGUUAUUAUUUGCUAAUAAGAUUUAUAUGGAAUGUGUUGCAUGACAGAUAACCGACAUGGAGGAAGCCCUUAUCCUAGAAGUGUAGGAAAAUCCAAUCCUGUAUGACAAGAGAUUGGAGAUGAUUAAGGACAUAGAAGUAAAAAGCGAUGUAUGACAUGACAUUGGGCGUCAGCUUGUAAUUUCAGGUGACGUAGCGAGGUGAGGGACAACUUCCUAAAAAAAAGGACAGAAAAUGGAGUGGAAGAUUGGUGACGGAGCUCUCUCAAACAAAGCACGUAAAUACAAGUACAGAGAGGCAAUGGAAUUCCUAGUUCUCUAUACAUACAUAAUCGAGAAACAAGUUCAAUCUUGGAUCCUGUGUUUGAUGUGGACACACCAGGAGAAGCCUGUACCAAGCAGGAAGAAACUGAGCAGGAGAAUGGUGACAUCUAUCCACAACGUGGGUCAGGCUUCCUCGUCAUCAUCCUCAGGCACGUCCGCAACAUCAGUCCAGUCUUCAAGUCCCAACUUCACUUCAAAUCGAGGACACAAUGUUGCAGUAAUUUCAAAGCACCGAUAGUCAUGGUGACAACAUAACUGUAGAUCAAUUUUUCUCCAGUUUGUCCCCCAUUGUCCCACACUGUAAAAGUUACCUCAAUGCCAGCUCCAUUGCUAUGAGGUUAAUUUCGGUCUUCUGAACAUUGAACAUACUACUAUAGGAAUUAAAGGUUUCGUGUCAUCUAAAUCCAAGUCGAUUCCUAUUGAUGUGAUAAACAUCUCACAAUUUAAGAAUCCAAAUAUGUUUCGUAGAUUUAAAAAAAAAGGUAACGGAAAAUAUUCUAACUUGCUAUGCUCCACCGCUAAAAAGAGAGCUGAUAUCUUAUUCCCUCUGACAUUACUCAAUACUCAUCCAAUUGUUAGCUAACAAAGGGACAGUGGUUUGUAGUUUGCCAGAGCUAACAACCUGUCAAUAGUCUCAACAUAAAAGAUGCAAUGUCAGACAUGCAGCAUCACCAACAAAUGAAAAGCAGUGUAUAUAUGAUUACAUCUGAAUGACUUAUGAUAAAUCCAUAUGAAAUAAAUCAUUUGCAGGAAAUCUACAACUUUAAUGACUGAUAUCGUAUUAUAAACAACUACACCAUAAAAUGUGUUAUUCUAAUUUCCACUUGAAUUUUUCACUUUAACAUCUCCCAUUGUUACAGUUGCAAGUCAGUCUCAAUUUGCAGAAAUUACGAUUUUGAAGGAUAAUGAUCUUCCUCUUUUGUAGAUCUGGAAAAUAUCGUCUGAGCAUGUUCACCAUUUAUCAAAAAUAUAUUUAUUUUUUAAAUUAUACUUGAAUUUAAAAUCAGGAUUUGUUCACAGAUAAGAGAAGUUGAACAGUUUGCACAUCACAGAAAUUUGGUUCAUGCAAAUAUUAACAUGAUAACUAGUAAUGUACUAUCAAAUAUCAACACAUGAAACCAGUUACUGUGAAAAUAAAAAUGAUGGGUACUGGACGGAACGUUUCUGGACUAAUGUUUUAUUUUGGAAACAGAGAUCUAGGAUUGUUUGAAAUAUGUCAAAAUGUUAGAAACAAAAUUUCAUCUCUAAACAGAAUGGCAAUGACACUCCUGGGGCCUGCUUCAUAGAGAGGUACAACUAUCAUAACUUUGUCUUUAAUGGUAAUAUGGCGCAACAUCCAAUUAUAAUUGUGGUUUCCAUGGAAGUUGCCAUAAUGUUAAAGUACUUUUGAAAUGGGCCCUUGGACAUGAAAAAUACUGACAAAAGAAAGUUGAUGGUGAAAUAAGAAUACAUUCAUCCUUAAGAAAAUGUUUGACGCCCCAUGCAUUUUUUUGUUUAUAUAUCUCUUAUGAUUAUUUUCUGUAAUAAAUUAAUGAGCAUCACUUUUUUUCAACAACAAAUAUAAUGUAGAUUGCUGAAGAACCUAAAAUAUAUUUGGAGCUGAAUUAAACUAAAAUUAAAGAUGUCGACAAAAUGAAGUACAGUGUAAUUGCUCUUAUUUAUUGGGCCAGACCUCACUUGGCAUUGCUUUUAAAGAACAAGUCCAUCCCAACAAAAAAGUUGAUUUGAAUAAAAGAGAAAUAUUCAACAAGCAUAACACUGAAAA